Unclassified non-coding RNA from Octopus bimaculoides (California two-spot octopus), 583 nucleotides. Lineage: Eukaryota; Metazoa; Mollusca; Cephalopoda; Octopoda; Octopodidae. The record is from RefSeq and is a predicted model, not a curated record.
ACGAUGGUGGUGGUACUGCUACGGACACUGCUCUUGACAAAGCACGUACCAGUGUCUUUACAAAUACAACAAGAAAAUCUGCUGCUUCCAAAGUUUUAGUUUUGGUAACUGAUGGACAGUCAAAUAAUGAAAAUAAAACAGUAGCGGCAGCUCAAGAACUGAAAGAUGAUGGCGUCACUAUAUUUACGAUUGGUGUUGUCAAUCCAAGAGUGUCUGAGUUAACUGCGGCAGCAAGUGAACCCAGUUGUACACAUUUCAUCAACUUGAAAGAUUAUAAUGAGAUUGAUUUUAUCGUGAGGGAAAUUGAAUCUGGAUCUUGUAAAGCUCCCACCGAAGUUCCUGAAGACACUCAGUUAGUCAAUAACACCAUUCCAAAAACUAAUGAGACAAAACAACAAAUCCUGCAGGUCGCCAACACGACAAAGUCCACCUUGGGUACAACAGUUCUGGUAAAUGUCCAGUGUGGUGUGGUCAUUGUGUACGCUUCAUUUAGCAACAGUUAUCCCAAUGAAGCCGACUACGACUACAAGACUUUGGCAACUGACCAUCAGCCGGGCAAAUUAUUUCUUUUGCCAAAAUCAGA